GACGAACGCUGGCGGCGUGCCUAAUACAUGCAAGUCGAGCGAAGUUUUUCUGGUGCUUGCACCGGAAAAACUUAGCGGCGAACGGGUGAGUAACACGUAAAGAACCUGCCUCAUAGACUGGGACAACUAUUGGAAACGAUAGCUAAUACCGGAUAACAGCAUUAACUGCAUGGUUGAUGUUUAAAAGUUGGUUUUGCUAACACUAUGAGAUGGCUUUGCGGUGCAUUAGCUAGUUGGUGCGGUAAAGGCCUACCAAGGCGACGAUGCAUAGCCGACCUGAGAGGGUGAUCGGCCACACUGGGACUGAGACACGGCCCAGACUCCUACGGGAGGCAGCAGUAGGGAAUCUUCCGCAAUGGGCGAAAGCCUGACGGAGCAACGCCGCGUGAGUGAAGAAGGAUUUCGGUUCGUAAAGCUCUGUUGUUAGGGAAGAAUGAUUGUGUAGUAACUAUACACAGUAGAGACGGUACCUAACCAGAAAGCCACGGCUAACUACGUG
Molecule: ribosomal RNA, 499 nt
Filed under: uncultured bacterium
Lineage: Bacteria
Description: partial 16S ribosomal RNA
Rfam family: Bacterial small subunit ribosomal RNA
Source: RNAcentral